CAAUUAAAUAUUCUUUAGGACAAAGUUGUUGUUUACGUUGAGCAGAUUUUAAAUAUAAAACUGUAUUUUUGCAGGGACUGAGCUUAAACCCUGCAGACACUGAAUCUGGUCCAGGAACCAAUCAUGACACGAUGUGGACUGAUGCUGAUGAUGGUGUGUCAUAUGCCUCCAUCAGCUUCACCAAGAAGACCAAGAAUAAAGCCCGGGCUGGUGAUGAUGAUGACACUGUGACUUACAGCACAGUGACAGCUGCCUCACCUGCUGGUGUUACCAAUGAUGCCAGUGACCUCUAUUCCACCAUCAACAAACCAAAGAAAUAGGAUGUUACUCAUAAAAUGUUUAUUUUGUUUUGGAUAAUGCAUCAAUGUUUGGAUGAUAGAGUAACUUCCUUUGUGUUCCUUUUGAAGUAAUGCUGUUUGAUUUAUUUGUUUGGUGUAAUCCAAAGGUAAGUACACCAUCGAUCAAGCAGUGGUGUGCAUGAGUGUGAAUUGUGUCAGAAUCAGUUACUGCAGUAAGUACCAUGAAAUUUAAAAAAAUAUAUAUCAUAAGUGUUGCUCGCUUAAGGACAUUAAUAUAUCUAAAUAUUCAUCUUUUAUUUGAUUUCUUCACAAAAAAUGUUUAGUGAACUACUUAACCUCAGUUAAUACAUCAUGUAACUCCUUAGUUACUGAAGAAAUAUUAAAACAUGUAACUGACUGUAUAUUUGUACUGAGGCAACAAUCGUUAUGCUUCAGGAUUGGCCUGGAAAUGAAGAAGACUUGACUUUUACUGUAAUCUAGAAUUUACCUGUAUAUCAAAUGACGCACUGCACAGAAUUUUAUUAUUAAAAUUUAAAAAAAAAAAAUCAUGAAUGACAUUUUUAACAAUACAAAAAGGGACGUAAAACUAGGGUUGAGAGGUGUAUCUCACUGUAUCUAUGAUGAUACUAAACUUUCUGUUUGUGAUAUUCAAAAAUCAUCUUUGACAGCAAAAAAACUCAGUUUCAGUUUUAGGACACUUUAAAAACAUAAAAAGAAAAGAAUAUGAGUUACUAUAACAUGUGUGAUUGUGCACACUUAGUUUUAAAGAUUAGUGUGAACCAAAAUCCUCAAGUUGUAGAUGCUGUUCAAGGGCUCUGAUGCUAAAAGGCUAACUUUCUUAUUGUGCUGUGCUGACUGGCUUUCCAGCUUCUUCAUAAGUACAGUUUGAACAUUUUUAGUGGACG
This 1204-nucleotide long non-coding RNA is filed under the name Oreochromis niloticus (Nile tilapia). Its description in RNAcentral is "lncRNA (ENSONIG00000026828.2)". Lineage: Eukaryota; Metazoa; Chordata; Actinopteri; Cichliformes; Cichlidae. The record is from RNAcentral.